Long non-coding RNA from Pistacia vera, 431 nucleotides. RefSeq lists it as uncharacterized. The record is from RefSeq and is a predicted model, not a curated record. The transcript has 3 exons. Lineage: Eukaryota; Viridiplantae; Streptophyta; Magnoliopsida; Sapindales; Anacardiaceae.
CCGGUGAACCCAAUGAAUUCGAAGACCCUAAGGUUUAAAUCCCUAAGGCCUACACAAGGAUGAUCCUUGAAGUUCCAGUCCAAUCCAUUUGGGCACCCUACAAAUAUUGUCUGCACAAGCAUUCAACAACAGGAACAACAAAUCUUAUAGUUCUCAAAUCACAAGCAGAGAAUAUCCACCUCCAGUGUAAAUUUGUAUAAUGAAGGAGAUGCUUUCAAGAAAGCGGAACAAUGAAUGAGGUAACGUUUAUCAGCUACACCAAUUGUCAUCUUCAAAUGCUUUAGAUUAGGUAAUGCAGGAAUUUUGCCGAGGAACUUCCCAAGCACCUGAAACAUUUUGAUAAGUUGCAUGAAUAAACUUGAAAGCUGGUGCAGAUCACGGAUGACAUAAGAGAGAUAAGGACCCCCAAAAGAUACCUCUGAAAGAUUUUC